UUGGACAACAAAUAGCUCAUUUGGUUGAGCAUGAGACUCUUAAUCUCAGGGUCAUGGGUUUGAGCCCCACAUUGCAGAAAAU
Podarcis lilfordi (Lilford's wall lizard) is the source of this 82-nucleotide non-coding RNA. NCBI's taxonomy places the organism in Eukaryota, Metazoa, Chordata, Lepidosauria, Squamata, Lacertidae. The record is from the annotation of a GenBank genome assembly.